GCCUGGCUGGCUCAGUUGGUAGAGCAUGCCACUUUUGAUCUGAGUUGUGAGUUCAAGCCUCAUGUUAGGUG
RNAcentral lists this transfer RNA (71 nucleotides) under Canis lupus familiaris (dog). It matches the Rfam family "tRNA". From Rfam's summary of the family: Transfer RNA (tRNA) molecules are approximately 80 nucleotides in length. Their secondary structure includes four short double-helical elements and three loops (D, anti-codon, and T loops). Further hydrogen bonds mediate the characteristic L-shaped molecular structure. tRNAs have two regions of fundamental functional importance: the anti-codon, which is responsible for specific mRNA codon recognition, and the 3' end, to which the tRNAs corresponding amino acid is attached (by aminoacyl-tRNA synthetases). tRNAs cope with the degeneracy of the genetic code in two manners: having more than one tRNA (with a specific anti-codon) for a particular amino acid; and 'wobble' base-pairing, i.e. permitting non-standard base-pairing at the 3rd anti-codon position. The record is from Rfam by way of RNAcentral. Lineage: Eukaryota; Metazoa; Chordata; Mammalia; Carnivora; Canidae. RNAcentral also lists the same sequence under 3 other names.